GUGUCAGCCGCCGCGGUAAGACGUAGGGGGCAAGCGUUGUCCGGAUUUAUUGGGCGUAAAGCGCGCGCAGGCGGCCCGGUACGUCGGGUGUGAAACCCCGGGGCUCAACCCCGGGACGCCGCCCGAAACUGCCGGGCUAGAGGCAGGUAGGGGAGAUCGGAAUUCCCGGUGUAGCGGUGAAAUGCGCAGAUAUCGGGAGGAACACCGGUGGCGAAGGCGGAUCUCUGGGCCUGUCCUGACGCUCAGGCGCGAAAGCUGGGGGAGCGAACAGGAUUAGAUACCCUCGUAGUCC
Molecule: ribosomal RNA, 292 nt
Filed under: uncultured bacterium
Lineage: Bacteria
Description: partial 16S ribosomal RNA
Rfam family: Bacterial small subunit ribosomal RNA
Source: RNAcentral